RNAcentral lists this ribosomal RNA (468 nucleotides) under uncultured bacterium. Its description in RNAcentral is "partial 16S ribosomal RNA". It matches the Rfam family "Bacterial small subunit ribosomal RNA", at positions 28 to 507 of the family's 1533-position model. The record is from RNAcentral.
GACGAACGCUGGCGGCGUGCUUAACACAUGCAAGUCGAACGGAAAGGGCCUGCUUUUGUGGGGUGCUCGAGUGGCGAACGGGUGAGUAACACGUGAGUAACCUGCCCUUGACUUUGGGAUAACUUCAGGAAACUGGGGCUAAUACCGGAUAGGAGCUCCUGCUGCAUGGUGGGGGUUGGAAAGUUUCGGCGGUUGGGGAUGGACUCGCGGCUUAUCAGCUUGUUGGUGGGGUAGUGGCUUACCAAGGCUUUGACGGGUAGCCGGCCUGAGAGGGUGACCGGCCACAUUGGGACUGAGAUACGGCCCAGACUCCUACGGGAGGCAGCAGUGGGGAAUAUUGCACAAUGGGCGGAAGCCUGAUGCAGCAACGCCGCGUGCGGGAUGACGGCCUUCGUGUUGUAAACCGCUUUCGCCUGUGACGAAGCGUGAGUGACGGUAAUGGGUAAAGAAGCACCGGCUAACUACGUG